Unclassified non-coding RNA from Otolemur garnettii (small-eared galago), 302 nucleotides. It matches the Rfam family "Metazoan signal recognition particle RNA". From Rfam's summary of the family: The signal recognition particle (SRP) is a universally conserved ribonucleoprotein. It is involved in the co-translational targeting of proteins to membranes. The eukaryotic SRP consists of a 300-nucleotide 7S RNA and six proteins: SRPs 72, 68, 54, 19, 14, and 9. NCBI's taxonomy places the organism in Eukaryota, Metazoa, Chordata, Mammalia, Primates, Galagidae. The record is from Ensembl.
GCUGGGUGUUGUGGCUUGUGCCUGUAGUCCUGUCUACUCUGGAGGCUGGGGCUGGAGGAUUGAUUGAGCCCAGGAGUUCUGGGCUAUAGUGUAGUAUGCCUAUUGGUUGUCCGCACUAAGUUCAGCAUCAAUAUAGUAACCUGUGGGGAGAGGGUUAAGGGGGUGCCUGGUUGCCUAAGGAGAGGUGAACUGGCCCAGGUGGGAAAAAGAGGAAGUCAAAACUUCUGUGCUGAUCGGUUGUGGGAUUGUGUCUGUGAAGAGCCACUGCACUCCAGCCUGGGCAACAUAGUGAGACCCCAAAA